Molecule: long non-coding RNA, 470 nt
Organism: Xyrauchen texanus (razorback sucker)
Lineage: Eukaryota; Metazoa; Chordata; Actinopteri; Cypriniformes; Catostomidae
Exons: 3
Source: RefSeq, a predicted model, not a curated record
UGUUUGCAGAUCAAAACGGACUCCCAGCAGCACCGAAGAAUGACUGGCAGUGGAAAGAUCGCUGCUUUCUGGUUAAUGAUGCCCACCAGUGCAGCUGGAGAAUCUUUUGUACAACCACACGUGGUAAAGUUUGAUGGAGCUGGACCAGAGCGGACAGUGUGCUAACGCGUCAACCUCCACCACCCCACCACCACCUGUUGAGUCCCAUCCUCCUAUCUCCGGCAGGAUAUGACGGUUCCAAGUGCAACUUCUUCAGACCGCCAGAUGGGGCCUACGCCAAAGAGAGACACUUUUCUGUUUUAUAUUCAUCAAAUCGGAACAAUCACAUAGAAAACUGAAGAUUUACAUCAAAGGGGGAUACUGCAGGGGUGGACUCAAAAUUUCUCAAUAAUCUGUCAAAACUGUACAGCAUUUUCAACAAGCAGCCUCUGGUUACCAUGGAAACAUUUACCCUGUCUCCAACACUGUCA